Molecule: ribosomal RNA, 429 nt
Filed under: uncultured bacterium
Lineage: Bacteria
Description: bacterial SSU rRNA
Rfam family: Bacterial small subunit ribosomal RNA
Source: RNAcentral
UUAGGAAUAUUCGUCAAUGGGGGAAACCCUGAACGAGCAAUGCCGCGUGAGUGAUGACGGUCUUUAUGAUUGUAAAACUCUGUUGUAAGGAAAGAACCCUUAUCAUAGGAAAUGAUGAUAAGCUGACGGUACCUUACCAGAAAGCCCCGGCUAACUACGUGCCAGCAGCCGCGGUAAUACGUAGGGGGCGAGCGUUAUCCGGAUUUAUUGGGCGUAAAGCGUGUGUAGGCGGUUUGUUAAGUCUAAAAUUAAAGCCUGAGGCUUAACCUCAGUUCGUUUUAGAAACUGGCAGACUUGAGUGUGGUAGAGGCAAGUGGAAUUUCUAGUGUAGCGGUUAAAUGCGUAGAUAUUAGAAGGAACACCAGUGGCGAAGGCGGCUUGCUGGGCCAUUACUGACGCUGAGACACGAAAGCGUGGGGAGCAAAUAGG